Molecule: RNA transcript, 15117 nt
Organism: Homo sapiens (human)
Lineage: Eukaryota; Metazoa; Chordata; Mammalia; Primates; Hominidae
Gene: CAMTA1
Gene name: calmodulin binding transcription activator 1
Exons: 6
Source: RefSeq, marked reviewed
GGCGGCGGGGUGGCUGGGCCGGCGGCGGCGGCGGUACGAGGCGCGCGCUCGGGGUCCCGGUCGCGAGGAGGAGGAGGAUGUGGCGCGCGGAGGGGAAAUGGCUGCCGAAAACAAGCCGGAAGAGCGUUUCCCAAAGUGUAUUCUGCGGAACUAGCACCUACUGUGUUCUCAACACCGUGCCACCUAUAGAAGAUGAUCAUGGGAACAGCAAUAGUAGUCAUGUAAAAAUCUUUUUACCGAAAAAGCUGCUUGAAUGUCUGCCGAAAUGUUCAAGUUUACCAAAAGAGAGGCACCGCUGGAACACUAAUGAGUAUCACAGAGUUAAUUACACCAGACCUGCACUAAAGGGAAUAAUAGAAAGAUUGGUCUUUGGCAGAAGAGAAAUGAUCCUGCAUGGCAGCUUUAAGAUGCGUGGAAAAGUGAAGACCAAAGAAAGGAGAAAUAAGAUGAGAUCAUGAUGCAGCCGUCCUUUUGGAUUUCUUUUUAAUAAUGUGUGACCCUUCACCUUUGAUCCCCUGACCUGCAUUACCUUGCAAAGAACAGAAACAAAACCAAGGAGACAGUAUCCUGUGAUGUAGGCUGUUACCUCAAGGUGAGUUUAUUUGUAGCACUAACUUGUAACGAAUUGUUUAAAGAACUGAAACUUCUUUUUAGGUAUAGCUUAUUUGUCAGAUUUUGUUCAUUUCAGUGUAAACUUCAGUUAUUUAUUACACACUGAGGGAAAUCAACUAAAAUCAGGAAAACCAAUGUCCAAUUGAACUUGAGUUUUAUUUUGCAUAGAGAAGUAACCAAUAUUUCUGAUCAAACCAUUAAAGCUGUUUCAGUUCCUUUUAAAUAAAAGCAAAGGCUAAAUUUUUUACAUACCACAAAGCAAAAUAAAACGAAAAAACCUUUGGUCAUGAUGCAUUUUUUAUUCAACUGAUUGCUGAAUUAUUUUGAUUAUAUAAUCUUACACUCUUAUGAAAGUAUAACAAGUAUGAAUUUUCUGAGGUGAAGAAAUAAAUGUAGAAAGCAGUUAAUGAGGCAGAACUCACAAAUCUGUAUUUAUAGUUUCAUGGCAAAUAAAUCAUAAGCAGAGGAUACAGAUGUAAAGAAAAAUUCUUGAUUGCAUUCAAGAAAUGCAAGGUCGAACUAACUUUUUACUGAAAUGGAAUUGUAUCGCUGCUCAGAGGGAUGUGGGGAGUAAAGUAAGUGGGAUGUGCUUAGAACAGCAAGCUAGGCCGCAGUGCGCACUCGUCAGUGUCUGCUGCUUGUCUUACGAGGAUUCUAGCACAGAAGAUUAAAUCAUGUUUUAAUCAUGCUUAAUAAAUGGUACUGUAGUUUUAUUAUGGUUAAUGUCCACUUGUAAUUCAAUGAAGAGUGGCUUUUUAAAGCAAAGGAGAAAUCAGCAUGUUUUUCUUGGCGCUCUUAUAUUGUGUGUGUGUAGAAGAUGCUGGGAUGGGUUAUCCAUACGACAACCCCUGUGACCAGAGAUGCAGGAGCACAUGCAUCACUCUUAGUUUUAUUUUAUUUGUUUUAUAUGUUAUUUUCAUAAAUCUGAAGGUUUGAUCAGCUUACUGUUUUUAGUAUUUUCUGCUGCUGCAUGUGUGUACCUUUAAGUUUUGUAGAAUUAAAUUGAAAAUUUUGACCAGCAAAUGCUUAAAGCCACUGUCAAAAUUACAUAGUUAGCACUUCAUUGAUUUGAAGGCUAGUUUUCAUUCAACAUUCCUGCAGUUUGUGUGUGACCUGAUUUUAAAGAGCAGUUCCAUGAGUUAGUGCCCUCUGGUGGCACACAGAGGACGUCAGGCAGAGAGGGACUCUGACCCAGGAGCCUUCCGGAGGCUCUGCUGAAGAGAAGCCAGUUUAUGACUGGCCCUGUAAUUUCAUAUUUUUUCAUGUGUUCAGUGCUCGUCAGUUUCCUACUCCAUUAAGCCAUGGCCCUGGCAUUGACUCAGUACCAGCUUUAUAGCAAGUCUUCAGCAGCUUAGGUUGUGAGGGAAUUUCCAGGUGGACUUGAUAUAAGAAGGGAUUACCAAUGUUGAGAUUUCCCAUGAGGAACCAGGACAUCCAUUUUUGGAUGCAUCUCUUAGCUCCUUUUGAAGAGCAGACCAUGUCACUUCCUGGGUUAAGGAAGGAAGGCUCCCUGAUGGCCUUUGAGUGACUGACUGGCACAGCUUGGGGUGGGCCUUCAGUGGGUUAGUCUUUGAUAGGCCUUUGUUUCCCAUUUUGGUCUUCCCUGGAGGGCAGCCCACCUUGCCCACUUAGGCUCUUGGACAGUUUUCUUUUUUUUUUUUUGUUGAGGUGAAGUCUCACUCUAUUGCCCAGGCUGGAGGGAGUGCAGUGGUAUGAUCACAGCUUAUUGCAGCCUUGACCUCCUGAGCUCAAGUGAUCCUCCUGCCUUAGCUUCCUGAGUAGCUAGGACCACAGGUGGGGGCCACCAUGCCCAGCUGAUUUCUUAAUUUUUCUGUGGAGUCGAGGUCUUGCUAUUUUGCCCAGGCUGGUCUUGGAACUCUUGGCCUCAAGCAGUUUUCCUGCUUUCCUCCCCAAAUGCUAGGAUUAUAGGUGAUGAGCCACCCUGCCCAGCCUGCUUGGCCAGAUUCUGUACUCUUUAGGCAGACCAAAAACUGAAUCCUGUCAUCACUCUGAAAAGUUGUGGGACCUCAAGAAAGUCACUCUUUCAUGAGUUUCUUUAGCUGUGAAAUAGUCACAGAUUCUAAGCUGUCUUUUGAACCUGUGUCAAGAGAGAGUUGUGAGGAUGAUGUGAGAUGAUGUGUCUGAGAGUCCUGACACAUUGACCUAUGCAGACUGCUGCUAAAGACAUUUCUCUUUCCUUCCUCAAAGGCAAGCCUCCCCACCUUGAUUAGAAGGUCAUUAAAAAGGAACUUCAUUUGACAAUAAUCCCAUAUUUAUAAUGAAGUUGCUAAGAUAGUUUGGAGUGCCCAUAGAUCCCUUACCUGGUUUCUUGUGCAAUCCCCACUUUUAUACUGUUGAGUUUCCCUGAUGAGUUUUCAUAUAUAUAAUCUCUGUGAACUUGGAUCAAAUUUGGCUUAAAUGCCUAUUUACCACUUUGCUAAGACAGAAAUGUUUGCGCUCAGUCCCUGAAUUCCAUUGUAGAUGUGUUGGCAUUUGCUUCCAAACCAUCCUUCUGGUUUUAGCUUGCCCUGUGUCUGUGGUCAUUUGACAUUAGAAUAGCCUUCUGUGAUCUUCCGGGAUCUUAACACCUAAAUAUUUUCCCUGCUUGUACAGCUAAUGAGUUGUGCAGCCUAAGGAAACAUGGGGUAGUCAGUUUUCAUCAGUAUUUCAACUAGGCGUUUUUGCCAUCUCAUAGCUACUUCUCAAGCAAUUACAAUUUAAGUCAAGGUAGUAGCACCUGCAUCUUCAAAAAACAAAACAAAAAGUUUUUUAUCUUCAGAAAUAAGGAAAGAAGCUUAUUGGACUUCCCAAUAGAAAGUCCACCAGCCAAUUUUAAUACAUAAAUAAUCUAUGAUUAGCAUUAGUAUAUGAAAAAAAUAGUAGCAGCUCAGAUUUUAUGUACUUCUGCAGUUUAAGAAAGUGAUGCCACAGACAACAUCUCAUUUGGUUUCUUAGCAACCCUGAAAGACCAGCAAGGAGAGCUUCGUCCCUCCCUUUUCAUGAACCUGAAUGUUGUAAGGGAGGCCAAGGAGUGGCCUGGUGAGACUGCACAGCCAGAGUUAGAGCCCAGGUCCACGUGAGUCAUUGUACAGACACAUCCUGAGCACCAGCCCACCCACUUCUGCCAUCAGGAGGCUUUGAAACUGCUGUGGUUCCCCUCUUAAAAUGGCUAACCUCUACUUCAGCAACCUUAUUUAUGCAUUCAUAUACAUAAUCAUUCUUUAAAGUCUAGUAGACAAUUUUCACAUUUUGUUUCAGCCCAGAUCUUUACUAAAUUUUGUGAGAUCAGCAUUGUUGGGCUUGAAUUAACCAAACUUCGCCAUACUGUGCCUUCAGAAAUCCCAGAUUGGGCGGGUUGUGAGUUCAUCUCAUCCUCUUCCUGACAUUGACACUACCAGCACCAUCAGCAGGCUCUGGGAUAACUGCGGCCCCCUCUGAGAGGCUACAUCUUGUUUGCGAUCUGUGGGUUACAUAUUGUGCUAGAGAUAAACCUUGACAGUAGAGACGUGUGACAUAUUUUUUACAAGAGUCACUGAGAUACUUGAAUGAGAAGAUGAUGUAGUUUGAAAAAGUGAUAAAUGGGCCAGGUUCUUGAGAAACUAGCAGAAUGUCUUAUUGAAACCUUGGGAUCCAAUCUGAAAACAGAAAUGAGUCUUCCAAGCAAAUUUUUUUCUUUUCUUUUUUUUUUUUUUUUUGCAAAUGUGGUGGGGGUAGAUGCUUUUAUAUAAAUUCUAUACCUGUUUCUGUGGUAUAAAAAUCAAAUUUUGUCCUCUUUUGCCUCGGUUGGUUGGUUUCAUUUUCAACUAGGUCUCCGUUUCUAACAGCAUCUCAGGUAACUUUUCUGAAAAAUGUGGGUUCAGAGGAGCUCAUGUGCUGGUGGCUGUAGUGGCAGCUAGUUCUAGACUAUGAGAUCUCAGUGACCACUUUGGUGGGUGUUUUGUUUUAAAUCAACAAUAGAGGUGAAUCUGUACUACAAAGUAAAAUGUAUGAGUAGAUAGGUUUUCAUGUUUUGAAGUUUUUUAUCUUCAGAAAUAAAGAAACAGCCUCAUUAAAGAACUGUUAAAAAAAAAAAGAGCUGUGGCCGGGCGCGGUGGCUCACGCCUGUAAUCCCAGCACUUUUGGGAGGCCGAGGCGGGCGGAUCACGAGGUCAGGAGUUCGAGACCAGCCUGGCCAACAUGGUGAAGCCCUCAUCUCUACUAAAAAUGCAAAAAAUUAGCCGGGCAUGGUGGCGUGCCUGUAAUCCCAGCUACUCAGGAGGCUGAGGCAGGAGGUGGAGGUUGCAGUCAGCCGAGAUCGCGUCAUUGCACUCCAGCCUGGGCGACAGAGCAAGACUCCAUCUCGAGGAAAAAAAGAAAAGAAGAAAAAAAAAGCUGUUUGUCUGUUCUAGCCUGGCACCUAUGAGUUCUGGAGCAGCACCCAAAGCCAGUUCCUGCUGGCUUUCCUAGGAGCCUCUUUGGCGUGGGUGGGCGAGCUGCUCCCUUGCAGCAGUUUCAGAUGUCACUUGAGAAAAAUAUUUGUUGUUGUUUGGUUGCCCUCUUCAGUUGUGAUGCUUUUAGGAAGUUAGGAAACAGAUGAGACAGUCUGGCUGGAAUAAGAGGGUGGGUAACCACUGAUCUGAGAUCAUCCCUGUUGAUUAGGUUUGCAGAAUUCUAAAUGGAGAUUGUAGCUUCACAUGCGCACUGAGGGGGUUGUGCGUUUUCAUAGGCUUAUGUUCCAUCGGGCUUCUGCAUGAUCUUGGAAGAGAGAGACUAGGUGUGGUUCUUGGCUCUGUUGGCUGGUGGGUUUAGCUGUGGAUCACUUAAGAGACCCAUAAUCCUUGCUUUUGUACCGUUCUGUAUUCCGUUUGUCAGGCUGCGAGGGAAGGGGGUUUGUGCUAAUUUGUAUCUUACUGACCCUGACUGGAAAAGAGAUUAAGAUUUUGGUUGUAUAAUUAACAUAAAUGACCAAAAAUAUCAAGCCCACUCCUCACACAGGUGACCCAGGCAUCCAAAUAUUUACUCCAAUGAUUAGUGUCUUUCAGCUGUAGAUGGGCACUUCUUUCCUUUCCUUUCUCCUCUCUCUUUUCUUUACCCACCAGAUAGAUUCACACUGAAAGAUUAAAACAGGCUGUGGGAUUUAAAUGCUGAAAAUGAAGAUUGAUGCUUUCAGGUGCCUUGUGGCAAGCACAAUUAAGUGAACGGAGAACUGGGGCAAUUGUUUAUUUGAAGGUUGGUGUGACAUAUGAAUGAACUUAUUUUUUCAGUACCCACCCAUCUACCCGGAACUGAAAUAGGCAUUUGGAGUAGGUUUUGCAUUUUAGGUUCAAUUUUAAGAACCAGCCAUUCACUGUGAAAGCGAAGUUGCUGGGAAGUUUGUUUUAAGGAUGAUGCCACCCUCUAUUUCUGUGAACCCAGUAAAAAUAGCAUGGAAUAAAAUUUAAUUAUGCUAUACUGAAUAUUUCAUGUGGAAUUAAGGGGCAAAAGCUGCCUUUAAAAAGCAUUAGGUUUGGAAAGAAUAAAGGCUUUGUAGGUUCUUUGGAAGAUACUAUAAUUAAAAGAUUUGCUCAAAUGUAUUUUUCCCUUUUUGAAGAAUUUAAAGAAAUCCAUCCCUCCCUUCCUAAAUUGAUUACCUCUCAAGCGUCAGCCCUUCUUGGCAGUAAAUACGGUGAAGCUGCCGCUGUGCUGAUUUGACGGCUUCUUUCUGUUAAAUGUAAAAUAGUUUUUUAAUCUUCUGAUUUAGAUGUUUAAUAGAAAGUAAACGUUUGACUUGCUUUGGUUUCUGCUGAACCUGUAUUUAAAUCCACACAAACAGUUUGAAUAAAGUGAAAACAUCACUGGACUAGCUAUUUUAAACAUUUCAGGAUAUAAGAAUGCUAAAUGGGGGUUCCUUUUAAAAAUAGAAAUGGCGGCUUGCAUUUACAUAAUUACUGCUAACUAGCACAACAUUUUAAAUGGUGACAAACUCAGGGUAGAAAAAGUAUCUGUUUUAAAAGCCUGGUAAAAGGAAGCAGAAAAUGCUCUGUGAGCAGCUGCUUCAGAUGGAGGGUCUUUGCAAAGCCGGGAGACCAAGACUUUUCAGUAGGGAGGGCGAGGUCAAGGGAGGAGGCAAGAGGUAGCUCAGGCAAACUACUUACAGGCCCUGAGCCUGUGUGUGGGCCUGAACUCACCCACCUUUCAUUUUGGAGCAUGAUUGUCUAAGUAUUAACACUUAAAUCUGCCUUGGUGUCUGUCCGGACAGGGUGCAGUGUUCUCUGUCCGCUGUUAAAAGGUGUCAGGUGAGGGUUGAAGUUCAAAGUUGGUGAAAGAGCAUGGAAGAAUAUUUAUGAACAUGAAGGCUGAGAUUCACUUAACACAAACUCAUCAGUAGUUCAAGCCAGAAUCUCAGGCCUGUCCUUGAUUCUGCCCUUUUUUCCCCAUCCCAGACACCCAUCUUUCUCCUUCCAAAAUACAUCCAUCUUUGCACAUCUCUGCUAGUACCACCCUAGUCCAAGCCACCUUCUUUUCUUUGCCUGGAGAUCUGUCACAUUUUCCUGUGUGGACUUCAUGUCUCCAGUUUGCUCCCCUUGGAAUAGAUUCCCCAUGCACUAGCCAGGGCAAUCUAUGAAGAAUGUAAAUAGGAUUCGUUCACUAGCUUAAACCCUACAGUGACUUUCUAUCCAUUUGGAGUCCGGUCAGCAUGAAUAAUCUGGCCUCUGCCUCUCCAUUUCCUACCAGGUGCCUCUUCCCUCUAAGCACCCUUCCCAUACGGGGAAUCCAUCAAACAUGAUUCUUUUUUGCAUUCGCUGUUUUCUCUACCUAAAAUUAUUUCCUCUCCUCCCCAUCUUUGUUUGCUGGCUCCUUUGUGUCAUUCAGGGCUCACCUCAAAUGUUAUAUCCUCAGAGAGACCCUCCCCCGAUAGCCUGAUGACAGGUGAUAGUCCCCUGUCACUCUGUCAUGUGGCAGUGUGGUUUUUUUCGUAGCAUUUAUUACUGUCUGAAAUUGUCUCUUCUUUUUCUUUUUGUCCUCAGCUCUUCCCCAUCCUAUUAGCUCUUUUAGGGCAGGGGGCCCUGUCUAUCUCCUUUUCAGCUAUGUUCUGAGUAGUUAGAUGUACCUGCAAGUGCCUAGGUAUCCAUUGAUUAAAUCAGUGCAGGAGCGGAACCCUGCAGAUCACUAAUGCCCAAGAAGAGCUCCCACUUGGUGGAACUAGCUGCCUAGAAGCUGCUCCUCAAAUUCUUGCCCACAUUUUUUUUGAACCGUUUGGGAAAAAAACUGCUCUAAACUUUGCCUUUUAGGGUUGAAAAUUGAAAUUUGGGGAUUCACAGAAUGCUUGUACUUAAACAGAAUCAGCCUGUGUCCCUAGAAGGACAUGAAAUUCCCCUAGUUCACCCCAAAUGAGAUGAAAAUAUAAUUUCCUAGCAUUCUUGGUCCAUAGUAGGAGUUCACCAGUGGCGAUCUGCCUCUGUGUCCUUCCUGGGGCAGUGGGAUGGCACUGCUUGCCUUUGCUGAAGACUGAAUUUGAAUUCCCUCAGAUCCAGCCUUCGGAGCCAGAUAGCAUUUUCUGUGAUUUCUCCUGUGGCGUGUCUGGCCGGGAUGCUUUCUGUGUUGAAUGUUCAUUUUGGGGUUAGGUAGCAAAUCUGUUAAGAUAGAGAUAUUUGCGGAAAUCUAAACUUUGGUCAGCCACUUUUCGUUUCAUUAGUUUUCCACCUGGCAACAUCCAAGCGUUCAGGAGGAAAACAUGGUAAUGGCUACUGAUACCUAGGCAGUUGUGAUUCCUUCCCUAAAGAAGCUGAUGCAGAGGGUUCAAUUAACUACUUCUGAGGAACCCUUUGCAUCAGCUUCCUUAGGGAAGAAAAGAAUCACGUUUCCAACUCACUGAGUCUCAAAUGUAUUAUGCCACUCCAAGCUGUUUGUUGAAGUAUUUACUUUGGUCUUGAAUAUACUCGUUGGGGACUGGAUUGUAGAACUCAGGAGACCCAUCUGCUUGGCAGAAGCUCCCCUGUGCAACUUUUCAUUCUUGUUGCUGUCUUUAUCAGGGCAUUAUUACAGUGAUUGGGUUGUGCAAGGAGAAACAGUAACUUCCCAGUUAAUUUAUAGUGAAAUGGACCUUUUUAGAACUGAGACCUAGAGAUAAAGCCAUGGAGCUGGAGGAUUUCAGUUGCUUUUGAGUGAGCAUCAAUUCAUUAGACUAGUUUUAAGAGAACCUCUCCCUUCUCAUGUUUGACCAGAGCUGAAGAUGCCUCGACUCUGCCUGGUUCCCCACUUGCCUGAGUAGAGAACAGGUUCAGGUAGGAGGGAACAAACAGGUUGAGCACAGGCAGAGUCAGGAAAGGGCCUGGCCUGUUCAGGAUCAAGAUGUGUGAAAUGAAGGUGGGAAGAUGGGGGUGGAAAAUGGGUUUUGACCAACAUAUGGAUGGUCUUGUGUGCAAGAAGCAUGUAAGCACAGCAGAUUGUGUUCCCAUGGUGACAAGCUGCUGAGCCACUGUGUGUUUAGGGUCAGUGUGGGGCGGGGAGUAGUGUUGGAAGUCCAUGUCAGUCAUUGGUUUCCUAGUUAGUGCAAACUCAAUAAGCCUGUAUUUACUGGAAGCCAUUUUUCUCAUAUAUACACCCCCAGAUUGUAUAUCGCUUUUCUGAUUUGACUUUUUGGCUGAUUGCUUUUGAAGUUAAUGUGGUUUAGUCAACUGAAUGUUCUAAACAUCUCCCUUUACCUACCUGGUCGGUACUCCUGGUGAGUUUUUGAAAGGCAGUGUCUUUCCCACAGAGAUUAAUUAGAAGUUAGUGUGUGCAGUACACUUGACCCUAUGUUUGACACACAUUCAGUAUAUGGUGGUGAUUAUUUGUUUGAAAAUGAAACAGAGCUCUCUGAUGGAACCUGAAGAAGUGGGAUUGGCACUUCUAGAUGGAUAUAUGGGUUGUGUUUAACUGCUUUGAAUGUUAGUAAGGGAAAAGUAUCCACUUACUAUUGUUCAUUUCUUUUUUCCCAGCCUUAAGAGCCAAAAUGAUUUUCUGCCCACAAACGUCUUGGUUUUCUUUUUCUAGCCUGUCUUUUCAUGGCUAAGAUAUUUGCAGAAAUUUCUGGCUAGCCACCAGUCCAUAACUUUUUCUCUUCUUUGCAGACACUGUGUUUAGUGGUAUCUGAAAAACCCUACGAAUCCAAAGUUGUUUACCCUACGAAAGUUGAGAUUCCAGUUCAUUUGCUAACCUGCAGUUUCUUAUUUCUUGUCUUGGUACUUCAGUUGGCUCAUUAAAUAUUUCUUAAAAUUGGUUGAGGAGCUUAAAUAUUUGUUAAAAUUGUAAUGUGUCCUGAUUUAGAGGAAACUAAUUAUUAUGUACAUCUUACUAGAUCCAUCUGUUGCCCAUUCCUCAGAUACAGUGAUAGAAGGAGAGAGAAAUUCUGGGCCGGGCACGGUGGCUCAAACCUGUAAUCUCAGCACUCUGGGAGGCCGAGGCAGGCAGAUCACGAGGUCAGGAGAUCGAGACCAUCCUGGCUAACACGGUGAAACCCCGUCUCUACUAAAAAUAGAAAAAAUUAGCUGGGCAUGGUGGCGGGUGCCUGUAGUCCCAGCUACUCGGGAGGCUGAGGCAGGAGAAUGGUGUGAACCCAGGAGGCGGAGCUUGCAGUGAGCUGAGAUCGCACCACUAUACUCCAGCCUGGGUGACAGAGCAAGAGCCCAUCUCCAAAAAUAAACAAACAAACAAAAGGAGAUAGAAAUUCUGUCUCCAGGCAGAUAAGUUAUAGUUCAUAGAGUGUGAGAGAAUGGGCUCAUAAUGGAACAGUUAUCCUGGGUGGAGUUGGUGCUUCGUGAUGGUACAGAUGCUUUCCAGGGAUAUGCUCAGGAAAGAUACUGGAAAGAGAUUUUCCUAAGUCUCAUCUCAAAUGAGCUUUGCUUUGCUUCAACUGGCCUAACUCAGCAGGCCCAGCUAGCCUGAUACCAAGAAGGACCUCCAGCCUCUUGUUGCCUAGCCGACCUCCAAACAGGUAGCUGGCCAACAUGGGGCCCCCUGGUUUGUUUUAUUUUGUUUGAUUUUUUUUUUCUUUAAAUGGAAUAGAUGAUCUAGACGUAGCACCAAGGUGCCCCUGUCUUCCAUCACCUUCAUGUACCUGAGUACCCACAAGCUCGCCUGUGGAUCUGUAGGAAAACCAGGUAAGUCUCUAGGAUCUGUGAGGUCAUCGGUACCGUGGAUGCUUCUUCAGGGUGGGGAGGGUUUGCUGCCAUUGAUAGCCCUGCACCAUCAUGGAAGCGUGCCCAGUCUGUUUCCCCAUCUUUGAUGCACUGUGGAUGAUAAAUAAUCAUCACUGCUGUGUGAUGGCUGAGAGGGAUUCCAGCCAGUGUGUGCUAGGUUAUAGUGUUUUCCUGAUGGAUGGAGCCUAUUCUGGGAAGCAGCUUAUUGUCUCACGUGAACAGGCUUUCUAAAAUAAAUGACUGCUUUCUUAAUAUUUUGAAUCCUUUUCUUCAGCACAUGUUUUGUUGCCGUGGUUUGAAAGCUUGCCAAAUAUAUGCCUUUGCACAACUCCCUGUAGGGCUGGGUAUACAAUCAGACCAAACAGUGUGAUUUAAGUUUGAGCAUAAUUGGGAAUUCAGCAAUCACUUGCCUUGCAUUUGAUGGAAUGGCAGUGGAGUGCUUGAGAGUUACUUCGCUGUUAAAAAAUUAUAUGUGUAUAACGCGCACGCGCGCGCGCACACACACACACACACACACACACACACACACACACACAGAGUUUCACUAUCUCAUAAUAAAGUUGUACCUGAAACCACUGGGCAAAAAUAACACUAGCAUGAUAAAUAAUUGCUUGAUUUUUGUGAUGGAGGCAGGAAUUAACUUCAACAAAUCAUAGCAGUUGAUACUGUAGAUAUGACUGAGGACUUAAGUUAUAUAAGGUUGUGGAAUGGAAGAAAAUCACGUGGUGGCAGCAAUACAUUUUAAACACAAGCCCUUGUCAAGUCCUUCAUCGGUUGAUCUGUUUCCUUGUUUCUGUGUACUUUAGUAAUUGAGCCAUAAACUUGGUGAACUUGGUGUUGCCUCUGUGUUAUACAAGCAUCUUUGGAUUUUACAUUGCCAACACUGUGCGUGUUUGUUGCUGUUGGAUUGUCAGUUACCUAUAAUUGAGACCUUUUCGUGUGUCUCUUUGCUGGUGGGAAAAAUGCUGUCAACAGCCCCACUCCCUGCAGCUCUUUGAAAAGUCACAUGUGAAAUCCAGAGUUUGUUUACCAGGCUGAAAGAGAUCACUUUACCAGAAGCUUACAGUAAAUAUCCAGGUGAUAGAGCCUGGAGAUACUAAACAUAUGCUGCUUCAUUGCUUGGUACAUUGGUAGUCAUCAGGCCUGCCACCAGCACUGCAGACUGCACAGGACACAGAGGUGGUGUGUGGAAGGGAUAACUUUGAAACUGUGUGUAAGUUAUCAUAGCCACCAGAGUUUCUUGAUGGUGGCCUCCCGUUCCCGUGCAAUGAGACAGCCUCCUGUCAUCCCUUGUAAGAUGGUGUUAAUCUGACAAGAAAGGGAAGUAAAAACUCUGAGGUCAGAAUUCUUAAGUUUUUUUUUCUGGAAUUUUGGACACUUUCUAAUAAUUGAAAAGCACCUGUCUUUUGGAGUUUUAGACAGUCAAAUUAAUCUAACUCCAGAAUUUAGCCUUUAUUUGCAAACAACAUGAUUAUGAAAAACCCAUGGAAUCUAUAUAAAAAAAAACCCAAGCACCUAUGAGAAUAAAUGAAUUCAGCAAGACAACAAGAUACAAGAUCAAUUGUAUUUCUAUAUAUUAGCAACAAACAAUUGGAAGAGGAAACUUAAAUAUCAGUACCAUUUACAGUAGCUUCAAAAACUUCAGAUACCUUAGAAUAAAACUAAGAAUAUGUGUAAGACCUCUAUGCUGAAAACCACAAAAUAUCUGUGAGAGAAAUUAAGAGAAGAUCUAUAUAAAUGGAGGGCUAUACCAUGUAUUGAAAGACUAAAUAGUAAGAUGUCUGUUUUCCCUAAAUUGAUUUAUGAAUUCCGUGCCAUCCUACUCAAAAUCUAGAUAAACUAAUUGCAAGGUUUUUAUGGAAAUGCAAAAGAUCUAGAAAGACCAAAGCAGCUUUGAAAAAGAGCAAAGCUAGGAGAUAGCCUGAUUUCAAGACUUCCUGUAAUGCUACAGUAAUCAAGACAGUGUGGUAUUGCAAAAAGAUGGACAUAUAAAUCAAUGGAACCAAAUAGGGAAUCCAGAAACAGAUCCACACAUAGAUGCUCAAUUGGUUUUUGACAGAGGUGCAAAGGGAAUUCAAUGGAGAAAGGAUAGUCUUUUCAACAGAUUGUAAUGGAACAACUGGACAUUCAUGUGCAAAUAAAAUGAACCUCAACCCAUACCCCAUACUGUAUAUAAAAAUUAACUCAAAGUGGAUCAUAGACCUAAGUUUAAAUCUAUAAGCCUUCUGGAAGAAAACAUGGGAGAAAGUUUUCAUGACCUUGGGUUAGCAGUGAUUUAUUAGAUAUGGCACCAAUUGUGCAAUCCAUAAGAGACAAAACAUCAGACUUCCUAGAAAUUAAAAAAUCCUGUUCUUCAAAAGGUACUGUUUAGAUAAUGAAAAAACAAGCCACAGACUGGGAGGAACCUUUGUAAAACAUACGUCUAAUAAGGGAUCCAUAAUGUAUGAAGAACUUUAAAACCUUUAAAAACUUUAAAACAACCCAAUUUAAAAAUGGGCAAGAGAGUUCUCUAGACAUCUUAGGAUACACAGAUGGCAACUAAGCACAUGAAGAAUGUUCAACAGCGUUAUUCAUCAUUGAAAUGAAACUAAAAACCACAAUGAGAUGCUGGUACACAGUUACUAGGGUAUCUUCCCAAAAUAAAACCAAAAAGACCCUGGUAAUACCAAGUGCUGGUGAACAUGUAGGGAAACUGAAACUCUUGCCUGGUGCGGUGGCUCACACCUGUAAUUUACCCAGCACUUUGGGAGGCCAAGGCAGGUGGAUCACUUGAAGUCAGGAGUUCAAGACCAGCCUGGCCAACAUGGUGAAACCCCGUCUCUACUAAAAGUACAAAAAUUAGCCGGGCAUGGUGGUGGGCCCCGGUAUUCCAGCUACUUGGGAGGCUGAGGCAGGAGAAUAGUUUGAACCCAGGAGUUGGAGGUUGCAGUGAGCAGAGAUCACGCCACUGCACUUCAGCCCGAAUGACAAGGUGAGACUGUCACACACACACACACACACACACACACACACACAAAAAAAAAAAUAAAAAUAAAAACUCGUACUGGCUUUUAGGAAUGCAGAAUGCUACAGCCACUUUGGAAACAACAUUGACAUUUUCUUAUAAGUCUACACUUAAGAAUCUUACAAAUCUGCAUUUACAGCAAGACCCAGCAAUCCCACUUCUAGGUAUUUACCUAAGAGAAUAUAAAGUUAUGCACCUACAGAAAUUUGUAUGGGAACAUUUACAGCAGCAUUACUCAUGAUGUUCAAAAGCUGAAACAACCCAAAUGUCAUUCAACUGGCCAAUGAAUAAGCAACUUCAUUGGAGUACUACUCACAGUGAAAAGGAACAAAGUGACACAACAUGGACGAGUCUCGAAUGCAUUAUGAUUAGUGAGAAGAAGCCAGACUCAAAAGGCCUGAUUCUGUUUAUGUGACCUUCUGGAAAAGCCAAAAUUGUAUGGGAAGAAAACAUCAGUGGUUGCUGUGGACUGGGUUGCUGUGGGUGGGUCGGUUACAGAAGAGCACAAGGGAACUUUUUGAGGUGAUGGAAAUUUUCUGUAUGGUGUUUGUGAUUGUGGUUAUGCAGCUCUGUUUGUUUGUCAGAAUGUAUGGACCUGUGCACUUUGAACAGGUAGUUCACAAAAGAAGUUAUACACAUGGCCAAUAAGCAUGUAGAAAGGUGUUCAACGUCAGGGAAAUACAAGUUAAAACCACAGUGAGAUGCCAUCUAUUAUUAGAGUGGCUAAAAUAAAAAAGACUAUCAACAUGAAAUGUUGGUGAGAUUGUGGAACAACUGCAACUCUCAAACAUUGCUGGUUGGUGUAUGAAGUAGUCCAACCCCUUGGGAGACUUGAUUGGCAGGUUUUCUUUCCUGAAAUUAAACAUACAUGUACACCAUGAUCCAACAGUUCCACUCUUAAGUAUUUACUUUAGGAAAAUGAAAAUAUAUGUUCCCAAAAGAACUUAUAUAAGAAUGUUCAUAUAAAGCCAAAAAUAGAAACAGCCCAAAUAUCCAUCAACUGAAGAAUGAAUAAAUUAUUACAGUGGAAUACUGCUGAGUAAUAAAAAAGAAUGAACUACUGUUAACAACCAUAUGGAUGGAGCUGAAGAACAGAAGGACAUACCCUAUGAAUGCAUUUAGAUAAAAUCCAAGAACGGAUGAGACCACUCUAUGGUGAUCAAAAGUGUUUUCUUAAGAGUAGGGAGGGGAAUUAACCGGAAAGAGGCAAGGAAGGUUUUGGGUGGUGGAAGUGUAGGCUCACUCCCAUUUUGGGUAGUGAUUACGUGUUUAUACACUUCUUAAAACUCAUCCAGCAGAUGAAGAUCUAUACAUUUUAUUGUAUGUUAAUUAUACCUUAAUUAAAAAUAUAUUUAAAACCCA